This 460-nucleotide ribosomal RNA is filed under the name uncultured bacterium. Its description in RNAcentral is "partial 16S ribosomal RNA". It matches the Rfam family "Bacterial small subunit ribosomal RNA", at positions 338 to 795 of the family's 1533-position model. The record is from RNAcentral.
CCUACGGGGGACAGCAGUGAGGAAUAUUGGUCAAUGGACGAGAGUCUGAACCAGCCAAGUAGCGUGAAGGAUGACUGCCCUAUGGGUUGUAAACUUCUUUUAUAUGGGAAUAAAACGUUCCACGUGUGGGAUUUUGUAUGUACCAUAUAAAUAAGGAUCGGCUAACUCCGUGCCAGCAGCCGCGGUAAUACGGAGGAUCCGAGCGUUAUCCGGAUUUAUUGGGUUUAAAGGGAGCGUAGGUGGAUUGUUAAGUCAGUUGUGAAAGUUUGCGGCUCAACCGUAAAAUUGCAGUUGAAACUGGCAGUCUUGAGUACAGUAGAGGUGGGCGGAAUUCGUGGUGUAGCGGUGAAAUGCUUAGAUAUCACGAAGAACUCCGAUUGCGAAGGCAGUUCACUGGACUGCAACUGACACUGAGGCUCGAAAGUGUGGGUAUCAAACAGGAUUAGAUACCCCAGUAGUC